Molecule: transfer RNA, 73 nt
Filed under: Dendronephthya gigantea
Lineage: Eukaryota; Metazoa; Cnidaria; Anthozoa; Malacalcyonacea; Nephtheidae
Description: tRNA-Ala
Rfam family: tRNA
About the family: Transfer RNA (tRNA) molecules are approximately 80 nucleotides in length. Their secondary structure includes four short double-helical elements and three loops (D, anti-codon, and T loops).
Source: RNAcentral
GACCUAGUAGCUCAGUUGGAAGAGCAUUGGAUUAGCAAACCAAAGGUCGCUGGUUCGAUUCCCUCCGUGGUCA